UCGUUUUAUGUACGCUAGAUCCUUAUCUCAAAAAUACUCAUAUAAUCCUCAUUCCAAUCAGGUGGAGCGAGCCCGAUGGAUGACUGGGCUUGAUUUUGGGCUAUUUCGGGAUCGGCCCAAUUGCCACCCCCAUCCGCGGAUGAAACGGCAGUUGUAUUGGCGGCCCGGGUAAACGAUAAGUCGUUGAGGCUGGUUGUGUUGACGACAGGGACUUCGGCUAUCGCCCCAAUCU
Molecule: long non-coding RNA, 232 nt
Filed under: Eucalyptus grandis
Lineage: Eukaryota; Viridiplantae; Streptophyta; Magnoliopsida; Myrtales; Myrtaceae
Description: long non-coding RNA (EGRA_LNC004463)
Source: RNAcentral